This 253-nucleotide ribosomal RNA is filed under the name uncultured bacterium. RNAcentral's name for it is "partial 16S ribosomal RNA". It matches the Rfam family "Bacterial small subunit ribosomal RNA", at positions 524 to 776 of the family's 1533-position model. The record is from RNAcentral.
UACGUAGGGCGCGAGCGUUAAUCGGAAUUACUGGGCGUAAAGCGUGCGCAGGCGGUUUUGUAAGACAGAUGUGAAAUCCCCGGGCUUAACCUGGGAAUGGCAUUUGGGACUGCAAGGCUGGAGUUUGGCAGAGGAGACUGGAAUUCCUGGUGUAGCAGUGAAAUGCGUAGAUAUCAGGAGGAAUACCGAUGGCGAAGGCAGGUCUCUGGGCUAUAACUGACGCUCAUGCACGAAAGCGUGGGGAGCAAACAGG